GACGAACGCUGGCGGCGUGCUUAACACAUGCAAGUCGAACGGAAAGGCCCUGCUUUUGUGGGGUGCUCGAGUGGCGAACGGGUGAGUAACACGUGAGUAACCUGCCCUUGACUUUGGGAUAACUUCAGGAAACUGGGGCUAAUACCGGAUAGGAGCUCCUGCUGCAUGGUGGGGGUUGGAAAGUUUCGGCGGUUGGGGAUGGACUCGCGGCUUAUCAGCUUGUUGGUGGGGUAGUGGCUUACCAAGGCCUUGACGGGUAGCCGGCCUGAGAGGGUGACCGGCCACAUUGGGACUGAGAUACGGCCCAGACUCCUACGGGAGGCAGCAGUGGGGAAUAUUGCACAAUGGGCGGAAGCCUGAUGCAGCAACGCCGCGUGCGGGAUGACGGCCUUCGGGUUGUAAACCGCUUUCGCCUGUGACGAAGCGUGAGUGACGGUAAUGGGUAAAGAAGCACCGGCUAACUACGU
RNAcentral lists this ribosomal RNA (467 nucleotides) under uncultured bacterium. RNAcentral's name for it is "partial 16S ribosomal RNA". It matches the Rfam family "Bacterial small subunit ribosomal RNA", at positions 28 to 506 of the family's 1533-position model. The record is from RNAcentral.